This is a non-coding RNA of Lactuca sativa (garden lettuce), 5057 nucleotides long. The record is from RefSeq and is a predicted model, not a curated record. NCBI's taxonomy places the organism in Eukaryota, Viridiplantae, Streptophyta, Magnoliopsida, Asterales, Asteraceae.
UUAUAUCAGUUGAUUGUGUACACAUGUUGCUUUACCAUUCUUCACCGUUUUUUGGCCCAAUCAUGUUCAGAUUUGUGUAAUUUUUCUUAAAGCUUCUCCCGUUUGCACCGAUAAUCACUGCUUCAUCUUCUUCUUCAAUGUAAAACAACCAGGUCAAAGAUUAAUACAGGAAAAAAGAAGCAACAGGUCACUUGUGUGUGUGUUGUGUUCAAUCCAUCGGAAGGAAUACCAGUCGGAGGUCGCUUCCUCGCCGCCGAUUAUGUCAGCGUAACCUACUAUGAUGCUACAGCUCGAAUCUUCCAUGACUGACUCAAUUUGGGCACACGUUUUUCUCUCACCGCUUCCACCACUUCCCACUGCUCCCUUAACAUCGAUUUCACCCUUCAUUGCUAACUGCGAGAUCAAAGGAAGAGGUUGAAGACAACAGAUGUGUCGAUGUUGUUGCUGAUGGCCAGUGACGGCAUCACUGGAGGGCAGGAAUCACAGUCACUCACAUAACGAAUUGAUGGUGGUUGAGGGAUGGAUGAAGCAGUUGGUCGGUGUCGGUGCUGUAACAAGUGAAGCAGCUCAGCAUCGGUGGUUCUGGUCACUUAAGCGUGUAAUUGUGCAUGCGCGUUCCACCCGACGGCUGCUAGAAUGUAAUUUCUACUUAUUUCUUCCUAAAAUAGUUGGGCUCCAUAUUGGAAAGUUGAAAUGGGUUUAAUACACAUCUCCAGUAAAUAAUGAUUUUAUAGAGUAUUAUGGAGAAGGAAGCAAGUUUUACCAAAGAGAUUGGUGGUGGUUGAAACAGGAAUUGAAAGUGGAGGAACAAUGUUUAUCCAAGAGGUGCAACCAAAGAAACGAUAUACCUAAUUCAUGAAUUUGGAAAGAGAGGAGAUAUGACAUCUGUAAUGGUUGUUUUUUACUGUUGUCCCUUUUGGAAAAUUAAUAUCCUCCUUAUUAUUUACUUAUUUACUAAAUUUUUAUUAUUUCAUGAUUUGCCCCCUAUUCAAUAUUGUGAUUUGAAUAUACUAUUUUUUUUCCUUACUUUUGUUUCAGAUUUGUAAAUGUUAAGUGCUUUAUUGUAUAUGCACUAUAAGAACUAACUUAAUCAUACUAAAUAUCUUAGUUAUUUCCUAUUUUACCCCUGUUAUGUAAACUGAUUUUCCAGGUUGUUAUCCAAAAAUUAACAUCCUCUUUAUUAAUAACUUAUAUACUAAAUUUUUAUUGUUUCCUGAUUUGCCCCUGUAAUCAAUAUUGAACUAUCUAGAUUUUUUUCAUUUCGUUACAUGAAUAUGUUAAUUUCUUUCCUACUUCCUAUUUUACCCGUGUUUUUAUCAUUAUGUUUUCUAUGAUUUACUUUUAUCACUAUAGUUUGUAUCAUGCUAUUACUUUGGAAUCUGUAUAUGGGAUAUGUACGCAUUGAUAUGCCAAGUAAAGCAUCCUUCUGUUGAUAUCCAAAGUAGUCUAUUUCGAGUCUUUUCUGUUUAACUGUUAUGUCGUUUGAUGACCUGAAAUUCCAAAUAUGUUUGUUAUUUCCUAUUUUACCCUUGUUAUGUAAACUGAUUUUCCAGGUUGUUAUCCAAAAAUUAAUAUCCUCCUUAUUAUUAACUUAUAUACGAAACUUUUAUUCUUUCCUGAUUUGCCCCUGUAUUCAAUAUUGAGCUAUCUAGAGUUUUGUCAUUUCAUUAGAUGAAUAUGUUAAUUUCUUUCCUAUUUCUUAUUUUACCCGUGUUUUUAUCAUUAUGUUUUCUAUGAUCUUUUUUUGUCACUAUAUUUUCUAUCAUGCUAUUACUAUGGAAUCUGUAUCCAUCGAUAUGCUAAGAAAAAGUAUGUGACUCCCUAUCGUUUGACUACACGAAGUCCCAAAUUUGUUGGUCACUUCCUAUUUUACCCCUGCUAUGUAAACUGAUUUUUCAGAACCGUAAUUAACAAUGCUUUUGUAUUAUGUCUAACCUGCUAUAAUGGGAUAUCUGUGUAUCAUGAAUAUGUUAAUUUCUUCUUUAUUUCCUAUUUUAGGCAUGUUGCUCUCAUUCUCUUUUCUGUCAUUUUCUCUUAUCACCAUAUUUUCUAUUAUGUUAUUACUAUUACACAAAAUUAAUAUCCUCUUUAUUAAUUUUCGUGUAGCCAAACGACAAGGAUUCAUAUAUUUAAUUUUUUUCUCUAAUCACUAUGUUUUGUCAUUUUCUCUUAUCACUAUCUUUUCUAUCAUUUUCUAUUAUCACUAUAUUUUCUAUACAUGAAUAUCUUAAUUUUCUUCUUAUUUCCUAUUUUACAUAUUUUUUUAUUUUUUUUGUGAUUAUGUGACAGUUUUGUAACGGUUCAGAAGGAUACAAUGGAAAGGUUAUUUUGGAAUGUUGUUUGACUUUGCUUCAUGCAUUGUAGGAAAAUAUUUGGUCUUUAGGAAUAAAAACAACUGAAAUUGGAAAAAAGGAACCUCCAUUACCAAAUCUUCAUCCAAUGAGAGUACUUUUCAUUAUAACUAUUAACCGGAGAAAAUCCACCUUAGGUCUUGAUUUUUCCCUUUAUUUCACCAUUUCAAGAUUUUUCCUUGAAUAAAGUCUCUUUGUUCUGUUUAUUAAUUUUUCUAUUUUCAAUAUGUAUAUUGAUUGUUUUUAUAGUCUUUAUUUACAUUCUGUAUUAGACAAAUGGAGCUCCAACUAAAUAAAUGCAAUAUUUUUCCAAUAUUGACCUUUUUCCCUUCAACAAGCAUUGUAAUAAUGACUUUGGCUAGCAAUAUUUCUACAUAUUGUUACACUUAAACUUAUGUUGGAUAUUUUGUUUAGUAAUCAACCAUAUAAAGAUAUCAUAAAUCAACACGGGCUCUUAUAUAGUUUUGGAUCAUAAAUCCCCGGUUUAAUUAAAAAUUGAAACUUCAUGAAUGUUGCUUUAUAUUUACAACAAAAUCAUAUGUAUCUAGGUCGUCAAUUUAAUCAUUUUCUUAGAUUUAACAUAGGUAUCAGAAGUAUCAAGCGAGUUUUGGAGGUGUGGAAGAAGACAGAAAGGCUAACUACACUGAUAUGGUAAGAAAUUCUCUAUAAUUUAUAAGAAUGCUUCUAUUGACAAAAACAACUUAGAAUCCAAAAAAAUACACAAAAUAUAGAUGAUAUUGUAGCAAGCUGCUGAAAUUAUUUUAUUAUGAGAUGAGAAAAUUAAAAAAAUUUAUUUAUUAAUCAUCAAUAUGGUAUAAAUGAAAUUUGAUUCUUACUCUUACAAAUUUCAAAUAAAAUAUAGUUGCUAGGUUGAAAGACUUCCAGCACAGCUACAACCUGCCUUUUUGAUCGGUUACAGCCAGAGCCACAUGCAACAUCCUAAUAGGAUUGUUGAAUUGAAAUUCAAUGGAAUUGCAGGAACUUGCUUUUAGUUCUUCAUUAUUUGUGUUAGAUAGGUUUGAGUGGUUGUUGUUUUAAUAUAUUGUAUUUUGGAUUAAGGUUGUUGUUUUAAUAUAUUGUAUUUUGGCUUUGUAAUUGAGAUUUCAUUUUGAAAUAGGACUAGAAAUUUUAACUGGCUGAUAAGCAAUGGGGCAACUUUUACCACUUAAAACUUCAUGCUAACAGUACCAGUGUUGUAGUUGAGUGUGUGAAUGGCUUUCUAUGCUUUGCGUUUACGGGGCUGUUCAUCAUAUGAAUCCAAAAGGACUUAAAGACGGUGACAAUUUCAAGGCAAGCUAUUUACAAUUUUUGUCGGAUGAAAUAUCAUAGUAUUGAAAAGGAUAAAUUGUAGGAAAUAGAAAUAUAUGUUGUUCUUGAUAAAAAAAAAAAAAAAAAAAAAAAAAAAAAAAAAAAAAAAAAAACAUCUUUUUUAUUUCCUUAUUUAAUAGAUGUAUAACCCUUUCUUUUGCAUUCCUGCGAGUACGUGGUCGUCUUGAUCCCCUUCUGACAUAUCUCGAUAUUUAAAAUGUGAUCCAGUUUUUUUUUAAAUAUUUAUACGUUGCUAUUUUAUAGGCGGUAAAAUUUGUGUUAUUUGGUUGUUUAUAAAAAGUACGUCACUAUUUAUUCUUUUUAAUAAAGAGAUUCAUUGUUUCUUGUAAUAAUUUACAUUGCUAUUGUAUAUUUUUUUUUUUUGGAACUUACAUAAUUGGUGGUUUCUAAUGAGCAUAAUAGAUACCUGGCAUAUAUGUUGUAUUUAUUUUAUGAUGUCAUCAAACAAAGUACAUUGCUAUAAUAAAUGCAAUAUGAUGUAUUUACCAUGAACAUGGAUAUCUAAUAUCAUAUAUGCAUUUUGUAGGCUCUUGCUUUCAUUUAUUUUUUUACCAAAUUAGUUAACGUUGAAAUUGUGCCAUACACCUAAGUAUGAUAAACAAGGUAUUGUAAUUGGAAAUGUCUUGACCAAGGUUGUAUCGGAUUAUGACAUCAUGAAUGAUUUGAUGAGUGCUGGUUUGCAUAGGUUGUGGAAAUAGAGGUAAAGUGUAACAUUUUACUUUUGUUUUACUUUUUUUUCUAAAUAUUCUUUCAUUUGUUUAUUAGGGCUAAUUUAUGUUCAGAACUACUUCAAGCAAAUGUAAGUUGCUUAAAACUUUUAUAGUACUUAAUCUCGGUUUGAUAAAGAAAUGGAAAAGAUUUGCAAAAAAAACCCAACCAUGCAAAGGAAUGGAGGUCUUUCAGAUGCAGAAGUUGGAUCAAUCAGAGAUGCUCAGUCAUUGCUACAAGUUCUCAUUUUAGUAUUUUUUUUUUGGCUUUUUUUUAUUCCCAAAUAUAGAGUCGAAUGCCGUAAGUGGUUCACUAACCAACCAUGCCUCUGAAACAGGUGGUUAGUACACCUCUCAGUUUGUUGAAUCAGAUUAAUAAAUAUAUUGCACCGAGAUUGAUUCCCAGUUUAAUAUCGACAAAGACACUGUGCUGAUGCUCGACAUGUUCGAUAUGAUGCCGGAAAACAUGACAGCAGACAUGAAAAUAUGCAACAAGAUCGUGCAAGACCAUCCAACACCAUAACAAAAGCAGCAUCAACCACUUCUACAACAUCCACCGCUUUUGCAUGCAGUUCUGUAAUGAAAAAUUAUCAACCACUUCACAACAUCCACAACUCUGUAAUGAAAAAUUAUGUAACCGCCAUCUAAUGAAUGAAUAUCUUUUAAUCCA